This 305-nucleotide ribosomal RNA is filed under the name uncultured actinomycete. RNAcentral's name for it is "bacterial SSU rRNA". It matches the Rfam family "Bacterial small subunit ribosomal RNA", at positions 220 to 526 of the family's 1533-position model. Lineage: Bacteria; Bacillati; Actinomycetota; Actinomycetes; Actinomycetales. The record is from RNAcentral.
AUUGGAUGAGCCCGCGGCCUAUUAGCUUGUUGGUAGGGUAACGGCCUACCAAGGCUUCGAUGGGUAGCCGGCCUGAGAGGGUGUACGGCCACACUGGAACUUAGACACGGUCCAGACUCCUACGGGAGGCAGCAGUGGGGAAUUUUGCGCAAUGGGCGAAAGCCUGACGCAGCGACGCCGCGUGGAGGAUUAAGACCUUCGGGUUGUAAACUCCUGUCAGAGGUGAAGAAAGUCUCCUUCGGGAGGCCUGACGGUAACCUCGGAGGAAGCCCCGGCUAACUACGUGCCAGCAGCCGCGGCCGAAU